GGAUGAAACGGACUUUGGCUGCUCUAAUCCCUUCAAAGUAAGGCCUUUCCUCCUCCGUAGUGUAGCGAACGCUGCUGAUCUCGCCACUCCGGUUGGUCUUGACUCCAACGACCCUCUCAUUGGGUCUAGGUGGAAGGACUCUUGUGCCGAUUGGCACCUUGAUAGUGGUCUUCGUCUUAGAUGAUGAUCCUUUGAGGAGUAGGGGUU
Molecule: long non-coding RNA, 207 nt
Filed under: Sorghum bicolor (sorghum)
Lineage: Eukaryota; Viridiplantae; Streptophyta; Magnoliopsida; Poales; Poaceae
Description: long non-coding RNA (SBIC_LNC013705)
Source: RNAcentral